GGGGGCGAACAGGGUUCGACGGGAUUGAUAGAAACGAAUACAGCAGGCCGGAGUUGGUCAAUGGCUCCGUAAAAAUUGACCAAAUAAUAAACAACAUUAAAAACAAUGUUGCGGCAAGACCCGAUUUCGGGUUUAUGCCUUUAGCCGCUUAACAGCGCUACGCUUUACCAAAGAUAUCUGCUAUUUGGAUAAAGCGACAAGAGCAGGUUAGUUUCAAACAGCUUGUUCCGUCAGUUUGAAGCGAAAUCAAAACGGAGCUGGUUUAUAGCGUAAUCCCGUCCGGAGACGGCGCUAUAAACGAGAACAAAUUCCGGGCUAAGCCUGUAGCGGUUUCGUUGAUACAUUUUCGGACGCGGGUUCAAUUCCCGCCGCCUCCAA
This 378-nucleotide transfer-messenger RNA is filed under the name Candidatus Parendomicrobium porotermitis. It matches the Rfam family "transfer-messenger RNA". Rfam says of the family: Bacterial tmRNA, also known as 10Sa RNA or SsrA, is named for its dual tRNA and mRNA-like properties. Its role is to liberate the mRNA from a stalled ribosome. To accomplish this part of the tmRNA is used as a reading frame that ends in a translation stop signal. Lineage: Bacteria; Pseudomonadati; Elusimicrobiota; Endomicrobiia; Endomicrobiales; Endomicrobiaceae. The record is from RNAcentral.